ACAUGCAAGUCGAGCGAAUGGAUUGAGAGCUUGCUCUCAAGAAGUUAGCGGCGGACGGGUGAGUAACACGUGGGUAACCUGCCCAUAAGACUGGGAUAACUCCGGGAAACCGGGGCUAAUACCGGAUAACAUUUUGAACUGCAUGGUUCGAAAUUGAAAGGCGGCUUCGGCUGUCACUUAUGGAUGGACCCGCGUCGCAUUAGCUAGUUGGUGAGGUAACGGCUCACCAAGGCAACGAUGCGUAGCCGACCUGAGAGGGUGAUCGGCCACACUGGGACUGAGACACGGCCCAGACUCCUACGGGAGGCAGCAGUAGGGAAUCUUCCGCAAUGGACGAAAGUCUGACGGAGCAACGCCGCGUGAGUGAUGAAGGCUUUCGGGUCGUAAAACUCUGUUGUUAGGGAAGAACAAGUGCUAGUUGAAUAAGCUGGCACCUUGACGGUACCUAACCAGAAAGCCACGGCUAACUACGUGCCAGCAGCCGCGGUAAUACGUAGGUGGCAAGCGUUAUCCGGAAUUAUUGGGCGUAAAGCGCGCGCAGGUGGUUUCUUAAGUCUGAUGUGAAAGCCCACGGCUCAACCGUGGAGGGUCAUUGGAAACUGGGAGACUUGAGUGCAGAAGAGGAAAGUGGAAUUCCAUGUGUAGCGGUGAAAUGCGUAGAGAUAUGGAGGAACACCAGUGGCGAAGGCGACUUUCUGGUCUGUAACUGACACUGAGGCGCGAAUUUAUGCCACC
Molecule: ribosomal RNA, 735 nt
Filed under: Bacillus thuringiensis
Lineage: Bacteria; Bacillati; Bacillota; Bacilli; Caryophanales; Bacillaceae
Description: bacterial SSU rRNA
Rfam family: Bacterial small subunit ribosomal RNA
Source: RNAcentral